Populus trichocarpa (black cottonwood) is the source of this 159-nucleotide non-coding RNA. The record is from Rfam. NCBI's taxonomy places the organism in Eukaryota, Viridiplantae, Streptophyta, Magnoliopsida, Malpighiales, Salicaceae.
UCUAUAACUCCAGAUAUGGGCUAAACACUGAACAGUGUUCGGGCUGCAGGACAGAUUCGGACUUCUCCGUUGUUGCUUUAAUUUGGACUUGAAAACGGCCUUCUUAGAUCUUGAUGAAAACAUGAAAGUUGUAGGCCUAUGUCUUACCAAAUCUGUGUA